AAAAAAAAAAAGAAAAAAAAACACCACAAAAGGUCUCAAAAAUGAAAAGAGAAAGAAAAGCAAAAAGAAAAAUAAAUGCCACACAUGAUUUGGGGCAAAGUAAUGAGAUCUUUUGUGUGAGGAAAGAAAAAGCAGUGAAACGAUGUGGGGGGCAAAAUGCCAAGUUGUAUCAAAUGAUCCUUUGGUUUUGAACCUCUUUAAUACAUGUUUUGAGCCUAUUAUAUCCUUUUUUUAUGACCCUUCACCUUGGCCUACAUUACAACCUUGAAAAGUCUAUUUGGAUCAAAUGUGAAUACUCAACUUGAAUGAUCAUAGGUUGAGCAAAGAUAUGCUCAUGAUGAAGCAAUGGAAUCAUGCUACAUGGAAGAUAUCAACACUGGAUG
RNAcentral lists this long non-coding RNA (383 nucleotides) under Durio zibethinus. Its description in RNAcentral is "long non-coding RNA (DZIB_LNC000424)". Lineage: Eukaryota; Viridiplantae; Streptophyta; Magnoliopsida; Malvales; Malvaceae. The record is from RNAcentral.